AUGCCUGGGUUGGUCCGAUGUUGGGACCGCUGGAGCUCCUUGGCACCGCCGCCUGCCUCGUCUCCGUCUCGCAACGACUCCGGCGAGGACAGAGCAGCCCGCCCCAUCUCCGCCGUGCGUCGUCCCGAGGCUGGUCCGGUGGCGCUCCUCCGCGCAGACGCCGGCCUCGUCUUCGCCGCAACUCCGGCUAGACAGAGUCCCGAGCAGGCGGACCGGCAGGCGAGGAAGGCCGCAGCGUCCCCAGCCGAACUUGGAGGGAUGGCGCUGGCUGCGCCUUGGCGCCGACGAGGAGCCUCACGCCGAGCGACACCCCACCCCCUCCCUAUCUGA
This 330-nucleotide ribosomal RNA is filed under the name Triticum aestivum (bread wheat). RNAcentral describes it as "partial small subunit ribosomal RNA". The record is from RNAcentral. Lineage: Eukaryota; Viridiplantae; Streptophyta; Magnoliopsida; Poales; Poaceae.